Molecule: ribosomal RNA, 197 nt
Filed under: uncultured bacterium
Lineage: Bacteria
Description: partial 16S ribosomal RNA
Rfam family: Bacterial small subunit ribosomal RNA
Source: RNAcentral
ACGCUCGACACCUACUGGAGGCAGCAGUGGGGAAUAUUGCACAAUGGGGGAAACCCUGAUGCAGCGACGCCGCGUGAGCGAAGAAGUAUUUCGGUAUGUAAAGCUCUAUCAGCAGGGAAGAAAAUGACGGUACCUGACUAAGAAGCCCCGGCUAACUACGUGCCAGCACCACGGUAAUCUGAGCGGGCUGGCAAGGC